CCCAGAGUCUGGCAGCUGUUCCAGGUAGUUAGUGCGCCCAGGCCUUGUAGCAGUAGUCAUUGCCAGCAGCUCAAGUUCUACGGCUCCCGGACAAUCCUUCAAAGUCUUUGUAGCAAUACCAGAUGUAUUUGAAAUAUUUAAUUUAGCUGCGCCAAUGUCACCUGCUUUGUAACUUUCGCCUUGGUCGGGCUUAGGUGCGGACGUGCCUAUCUUAUCACCACAGCUUGGUUCUGUAACUGUCGCUCUCUCUUGGCUUAGAUCAGAAGCAGCUACUUUGCCUUUCUUUUCUCUGCCAAACUGUUCAACAGCUGGCCGACAUUCUUGGGUAGCCUCGGCUACUAAACAGUGCACCGCAUUGCUAUACUCAGCU
Pelobates cultripes (western spadefoot toad) is the source of this 370-nucleotide non-coding RNA. Lineage: Eukaryota; Metazoa; Chordata; Amphibia; Anura; Pelobatidae. The record is from the annotation of a GenBank genome assembly.